CCUGCCUCAUACAGGGGGAUAACAGUCGGAAACGGCUGCUAAAACCGCAUAAGCAUACAGUAUCGCAUGGUACAGUGUGAAAAUAUUUAUAGGUAUGAGAUGGGCCCGCGUCUGAUUAGCUAGUUGGUGAGAUAAAAGCUUACCAAGGCGACGAUCAGUAGCCGGCUUGAGAGAGUGACCGGCCACAUUGGGACUGAGACACGGCCCAAACUCCUACGGGAGGCAGCAGUGGGGAAUAUUGCACAAUGGGGGAAACCCUGAUGCAGCGACGCCGCGUGAGUGAUGACGGCCCUAUGGGUUGUAAAGCUCUGUUAUAAGGGACGAACAGCUUUGCUAGGAAAUGAGCAGAGUCUGACGGUACUUUAUCAGAAAGCCACGGUUAACUACGUGCCAGCAGCCGCGGUAAUACGUAUGGUGCAAGCGUUAUCCGGAUUUACUGGGUGUAAAGGGAGCGCAGACGGCAUGGCAAGCCAGAUGUGAAAGGUGGGGGCUCAACCCCCAAGCUGCAUUUGGAAACUGUCAAGCUAAAGUAUCGGAGAGGUAAGUGGAAUUCCUAGUGUAGCGGUGAAAUGCGUAGAUAUUAGGAGGAACACCAGUGGCGAAGGCGGCUUACUGGACGAUAACUGACGUUGAGGCUCGAAAGCGUGGGGAGGCAACAGGAUUAGAAUUACCUGGGUAAUCCACGCCCGUAACGAUGAAUACUA
This 704-nucleotide ribosomal RNA is filed under the name uncultured bacterium. RNAcentral's name for it is "bacterial SSU rRNA". It matches the Rfam family "Bacterial small subunit ribosomal RNA", at positions 125 to 818 of the family's 1533-position model. The record is from RNAcentral.